CAGAAACAUUCCGUCUACUUGUAUGCAAGCGGCGGGCGAGAGCGGUGCGUUGUGCUUGCGUGCGUGGCGUCGUGGUUAGGGAAGUGCUAAGUGUGAGUUAAUUUAUCGUUCAUCUUCUGUGUUUUCUUCGCGCUGGGUUUGUACCCGCAUCACAGGCCUCAUCGUGGGACAGACAACGCUGAAGCACCCCUUCGAGAAAAAAGAGUAGUGCCCUUGUUAGUGUUCUGUGGCGGCGACCAGAUGAAGCCUCAUGCUGGUGAAGGAGGACGGUGCUGGUGGUGGGAGUCCUGCUUUCAUAUGGGUUGCGUGGGAGAUGAAUUCUCUCGUCUUGACUAUGCUGGUGGGUGUCCUGAAGAAAUGAUCGCAAAGACGCUGGAUCAAAAUUACACAAGAGUUGCACAGGUGUAAAAAAAAGAUAUUCGGAUGGAAGUCGAGA
Molecule: long non-coding RNA, 436 nt
Organism: Scylla paramamosain (green mud crab)
Lineage: Eukaryota; Metazoa; Arthropoda; Malacostraca; Decapoda; Portunidae
Exons: 4
Source: RefSeq, a predicted model, not a curated record